Molecule: long non-coding RNA, 283 nt
Organism: Notothenia coriiceps (black rockcod)
Lineage: Eukaryota; Metazoa; Chordata; Actinopteri; Perciformes; Nototheniidae
Exons: 2
Source: RefSeq, a predicted model, not a curated record
ACAUGGAGCUCGAGGAGGAGACGCUUCUGCGCAUGUCCGCGUGUGCACGGCCAGAAACAGACAGAUAGCUGCUCAACUGAGGAAAAACUGGCAAAGACAAAGGACUGAGACACAUUUACAGAACCAGGAGAGACUAUAUUGAGUUUUUACACCGGUUUAUAAUAGCCAAGGUGUUCGAGGACCACCAGGAAGCGGACAGUUUCUUUGACUCUCCAAGCAUCGAAUCCAGUGGAACCGACCCCUCCUGGUCGAUGGAAAUACCUGCAAAUCUCUAGUCUCGUAU